Saimiri boliviensis boliviensis (Bolivian squirrel monkey) is the source of this 283-nucleotide non-coding RNA. Lineage: Eukaryota; Metazoa; Chordata; Mammalia; Primates; Cebidae. The record is from RefSeq and is a predicted model, not a curated record.
UUGGAGGGGACAAACAUCCAAACCAUGUCAAGUUUAAAAAAUGUUCCUGUUCCAAUGGUUAAAUACAUAGUACAUUUAAUAUUCAUGUAGUUUUUCUUAUGACUUAAAAAGUGUCUCUUUGGUCCAUCUGGAACUUACGUUGGUAAGAAAUCCAUGGAGAGGAUCUGACUACCUGCUUAAAUUAUACCCAAAGGAGAAGCCGAUUUGCACUUCUGAGUUUUCUGCAAUGAGCCACCUGCCUUUUUCUCCUUGUUGAAAAGAAAUAAAAAUGAUGACAGAAAAA